GUGAAUCAUCGAAUUUUUGAACGCAAAUUGCGCUUCCUGUCAUCCCGGGAAGUAUGCCUGUUUGAGGUUCAGUAUUAAUAAAAAAUCGGUUUAGUUACAAAUUGUGUCGUUUCGGGAGUUUGGGUUAUCUUAACAUUUUGGGCUAAGAGGCUUAAAAUUGACCUUUUUUGCGCUUUUUUAAUUGUACAUAAAUUUUUUUUAUUCGUCUAUUCUUAAUGCUAAAAUUUAAUUA
Molecule: unclassified non-coding RNA, 232 nt
Filed under: Glomeraceae sp.
Lineage: Eukaryota; Fungi; Glomeromycota; Glomeromycetes; Glomerales; Glomeraceae
Description: partial contains 5.8S ribosomal RNA and internal transcribed spacer 2
Rfam family: 5.8S ribosomal RNA (bases 1-71)
Source: RNAcentral